GACGAACGCUGGCGGCGUGCCUAAUACAUGCAAGUAGAACGCUGAAGGAGGAGCUUGCUCUUCUGGAUGAGUUGCGAACGGGUGAGUAACGCGUAGGUAACCUGCCUGGUAGCGGGGGAUAACUAUUGGAAACGAUAGCUAAUACCGCAUAAGAGUAGCUGUUGCAUGACAUUUACUUAAAAGGUGCAAUUGCAUCACUACCAGAUGGACCUGCGUUGUAUUAGCUAGUUGGUGGGGUAACGGCUUACCAAGGCGACGAUACAUAGCCGACCUGAGAGGGUGAUCGGCCACACUGGGACUGAGACACGGCCCAGACUCCUACGGGAGGCAGCAGUAGGGAAUCGUCGGCAAUGGACGGAAGUCUGACCGAGCAACGCCGCGUGAGUGAAGAAGGUUUUCGGAUCGUAAAGCUCUGUUGUAAGAGAAGAACGAGUGUGAGAGUGGAAAGUUCACACUGUGACGGUAUCUUACCAGAAAGGGACGGCUAACUACGUG
This 495-nucleotide ribosomal RNA is filed under the name uncultured bacterium. RNAcentral describes it as "partial 16S ribosomal RNA". It matches the Rfam family "Bacterial small subunit ribosomal RNA", at positions 28 to 507 of the family's 1533-position model. The record is from RNAcentral.